GAUGAACGCUGGCGGCGUGCUUAACACAUGCAAGUCGAACGGAAAGGCUCCUGCUUGCAGGGGUACUCGAGUGGCGAACGGGUGAGUAACACGUGGGUGAUCUGCCCUGCACUUCGGGAUAAGCUUGGGAAACUGGGUCUAAUACCGGAUAGGACCGCAUUUUGGAUGGUGUGGUGGAAAGUUUUUUCGGUGUGGGAUGAGCUCGCGGCCUAUCAGCUUGUUGGUGGGGUAAUGGCCUACCAAGGCGUCGACGGGUAGCCGGCCUGAGAGGGUGUACGGCCACAUUGGGACUGAGAGACGGCCCAGACUCCUACGGGAGGCAGCAGUGGGGAAUAUUGCACAAUGGGCGCAAGCCUGAUGCAGCGACGCCGCGUGGGGGAUGACGGCCUUCGGGUUGUAAACUCCUUUCGCUAGGGACGAAGAGUAAUUGACGGUACCUGGAGAAGAAGCACCGGCUAACUACGUG
RNAcentral lists this ribosomal RNA (466 nucleotides) under uncultured bacterium. RNAcentral's name for it is "partial 16S ribosomal RNA". It matches the Rfam family "Bacterial small subunit ribosomal RNA", at positions 28 to 507 of the family's 1533-position model. The record is from RNAcentral.